CCGGCCUUAGCUCAGCUGGAAGAGCGAAGGACUGUAAUUGGUGCAGAGCAUCCUUAGGUCGCCCGUUCGAUCCGGGCAGGCCGGA
RNAcentral lists this transfer RNA (85 nucleotides) under Pleodorina starrii. It matches the Rfam family "tRNA". Rfam says of the family: Transfer RNA (tRNA) molecules are approximately 80 nucleotides in length. Their secondary structure includes four short double-helical elements and three loops (D, anti-codon, and T loops). Further hydrogen bonds mediate the characteristic L-shaped molecular structure. tRNAs have two regions of fundamental functional importance: the anti-codon, which is responsible for specific mRNA codon recognition, and the 3' end, to which the tRNAs corresponding amino acid is attached (by aminoacyl-tRNA synthetases). tRNAs cope with the degeneracy of the genetic code in two manners: having more than one tRNA (with a specific anti-codon) for a particular amino acid; and 'wobble' base-pairing, i.e. permitting non-standard base-pairing at the 3rd anti-codon position. The record is from Rfam by way of RNAcentral. Lineage: Eukaryota; Viridiplantae; Chlorophyta; Chlorophyceae; Chlamydomonadales; Volvocaceae.